RNAcentral lists this ribosomal RNA (373 nucleotides) under uncultured organism. RNAcentral's name for it is "partial 16S ribosomal RNA". It matches the Rfam family "Bacterial small subunit ribosomal RNA", at positions 527 to 896 of the family's 1533-position model. The record is from RNAcentral.
GUAGGUGGCAAGCGUUGUCCGGAAUUAUUGGGCGUAAAGCGCGCGCAGGCGGUCCUUUAAGUCUGAUGUGAAAGCCCACGGCUCAACCGUGGAGGGUCAUUGGAAACUGGGGGACUUGAGUACAGAAGAGGAAAGCGGAAUUCCAAGUGUAGCGGUGAAAUGCGUAGAGAUUUGGAGGAACACCAGUGGCGAAGGCGGCUUUCUGGUCUGUAACUGACGCUGAGGCGCGAAAGCGUGGGGAGCAAACAGGGAUUAGAUACCCUGGUAGUCCACGCCGUAAACGAUGAGUGCUAAGUGUUAGGGGGCUUCCGCCCCCUUAGUGCUGCAGCUAACGCAUUAAGCACUCCGCCUGGGGAGUACGGCCGCAAGGCUG